This 726-nucleotide ribosomal RNA is filed under the name uncultured Gammaproteobacteria bacterium. RNAcentral's name for it is "bacterial SSU rRNA". It matches the Rfam family "Bacterial small subunit ribosomal RNA", at positions 30 to 744 of the family's 1533-position model. The record is from RNAcentral. Lineage: Bacteria; Pseudomonadati; Pseudomonadota; Gammaproteobacteria.
UGAACGCGGCGGUAGCUUACACAUGCAGUGAGCGGUACAGGCAUUUUGAUUCAGCUUGCUGAAUCUCGCGCUGACGAGCGGCGGACGGGUGAGUAACGCGUAGGAAUCUACCUAGUAGAAGGGGAUAGCCCGGGGAAACUCGGAUUAAUACCGUAUACGUCCUUAGGGAGAAAGAGGGCUUAGCUUAGAUGCUCUCGCUAUUAGAUGAGCCUGCGUAAGAUUAGCUUGUUGGUGAGGUAAAGGCUCACCAAGGCUACGAUCUUUAGCUGGUCUGAGAGGACGAUCAGCCACAUUGGGACUGAGACACGGCCCAGACUCCUACGGGAGGCAGCAGUGGGGAAUAUUGGACAAUGGGCGCAAGCCUGAUCCAGCCAUACCGCGUGUGUGAAGAAGGCCUUCGGGUUGUAAAGCACUUUAAGUAAGGAAGAAAAGUAUAUUGUUAAUACCAAUAUACCGUGACAUUACUUACAGAAUAAGGACCGGCUAAUUCCGUGCCAGCAGCCGCGGUAAUACGGAAGGUCCAAGCGUUAAUCGGAAUUACUGGGCGUAAAGCGCGCGUAGGUGGUUUAUUAACGUUGGGUGUGACAGCCCCGGGCUCAACCUGGGAAUUGGCUUCCAAAUUGAUUCAUUAGAGUACCCACAGACGAGGGUAGAAUUCCCAGUGUUACGGGGGAAUGCGUAAAUUUGGGACGACUCCAUGGGGAAGGCACCCCUGGUUUUACUGCC